This 492-nucleotide ribosomal RNA is filed under the name Hepatozoon sp. BT-2014. RNAcentral's name for it is "bacterial SSU rRNA". It matches the Rfam family "Eukaryotic small subunit ribosomal RNA", at positions 374 to 856 of the family's 1831-position model. Lineage: Eukaryota; Apicomplexa; Hepatozoidae. The record is from RNAcentral.
GGUUCGAUUCCGGAGAGGGAGCCUGAGAAACGGCUACCACAUCUAAGGAAGGCAGCAGGCGCGCAAAUUACCCAAUUCUAACAGCAUAAGAGAGGUAGUGACAAGAAAUAACAGUACAAGGCAGUUAAAAUGCUUUGUAAUUGGAAUGAUAGAAAUUUAAACACUUUUUAAAGUAUCAAUUGGAGGGCAAGUCUGGUGCCAGCAGCCGCGGUAAUUCCAGCUCCAAUAGCGUAUAUUAAAAUUGUUGCAGUUAAAAAGCUCGUAGUUGAAUUUCUGCUAAAAAUAACCGGUUUGCUUUUAUUAAUAAAAGUGGUAUCUUGGUGUGUUUUUAGCAAUAAUGUCCUUUGAAAUGUUUUUUACUUUAUUGUAAGAAGCAAUAUUCAGGAUUUUUACUUUGAGAAAAUUAGAGUGUUUCAAGCAGGCUAACGUUUUGAAUACUGCAGCAUGGAAUAAUAAAAUAGGAUUUUGGUUCUACAUUAUUGGUUUUAAGAA